CCUACGGGUGGCAGCAGUGGGGGAUAUUGCACAAUGGGGGGAACCCUGAUGCAGCGACGCCGCGUGGGUGAAGAAGCGCCUCGGCGCGUAAAGCCCUGUCAGCAGGGAAGAAAAUGACGGUACCUGAAGACUAAGCCCCGGCCAACUCUGUGCCAGCAGCCGCGGUAAUACGGAGGGGGCAAGCGUUAUCCGGAAUUACUGGGUGUAACGGGGGCGCAGACGGCGAGGCAAGCCAGGGGUGAAAGCCCGGGGCCCAACCCCGGGACUGCUCUUGGAACUGCGUGGCUGGAGUGCAGGAGGGGCGGGCAGAAUUCCUGGUGUAGCGGUGAAAUGCGUAGAUAUCAGGAGGAACACCGGUGGCGAAGGCGGCCUGCUGGACUGCAACUGACGUUGAGGCCCGAAAGCGUGGGGAGCAAACAGGAUUAGAUACCCCUGUAGUC
This 440-nucleotide ribosomal RNA is filed under the name uncultured bacterium. RNAcentral describes it as "partial 16S ribosomal RNA". It matches the Rfam family "Bacterial small subunit ribosomal RNA", at positions 338 to 795 of the family's 1533-position model. The record is from RNAcentral.